RNAcentral lists this small RNA (187 nucleotides) under Klebsiella pneumoniae. RNAcentral's name for it is "STnc100". It matches the Rfam family "Gammaproteobacterial sRNA STnc100". Lineage: Bacteria; Pseudomonadati; Pseudomonadota; Gammaproteobacteria; Enterobacterales; Enterobacteriaceae. The record is from RNAcentral.
CAUGAAAGGCUGAAUGUUAAAUUUGAGUUGUGGUGAAUCCCCCUAAGCGGAGGGGCGACCAGUCAGUUACAGAAACCUGUAAAUGCAGCGCGGGCCAUGCCGACUGGGGCAUGCUCACCGGGAGGCACCCGGCACCACACACAGCAGGUGUAGAUUCGAAUCUACCGAAGCAUUAGUCCGGACGUUU